GAUGAACGCUGGCGGCGUGCCUAAUACAUGCAAGUCGAGCGAACAGACGAGGAGCUUGCUCCUCUGACGUUAGCGGCGGACGGGUGAGUAACACGUGGAUAACCUACCUAUAAGACUGGGAUAACUUCGGGAAACCGGAGCUAAUACCGGAUAAUAUAUUUAACCGUAUGGUUCAAUAGUGAAAGACGGUUUUGCUGUCACUUAUAGAUGGAUCCGCGCCGCAUUAGCUAGUUGGUAAGGUAACGGCUUACCAAGGCAACGAAGCGUAGCCGACCUGAGAGGGUGAUCGGCAACACUGGAACUGAGACACGGUCCAGACUCCUACGGGAGGCAGCAGUAGGGAAUCUUCCGCAAUGGGCGAAAGCCUGACGGAGCAACGCCGCGUGAUUGAUGAAGGUCUUCGGAUCGUAAAACUCUGUUAUUAGGGAAGAACAAAUGUGUAAGUAACUAUGCACGUCUUGACGGUACCUAAUCAGAAAGCCACGGCUAACUACGUG
Molecule: ribosomal RNA, 497 nt
Filed under: uncultured bacterium
Lineage: Bacteria
Description: partial 16S ribosomal RNA
Rfam family: Bacterial small subunit ribosomal RNA
Source: RNAcentral